AGUGAACUCUGGCGGUAGGCCUAACACAUGCAAGUCGAACGGCAGCACAGUAAGAGCUUGCUCUUACGGGUGGCGAGUGGCGGACGGGUGAGGAAUACAUCGGAAUCUACUUUUUCGUGGGGGAUAACGUAGGGAAACUUACGCUAAUACCGCAUACGACCUACGGGUGAAAGCAGGGGAUCUUCGGACCUUGCGCGAUUGAAUGAGCCGAUGUCGGAUUAGCUAGUUGGCGGGGUAAAGGCCCACCAAGGCGACGAUCCGUAGCUGGUCUGAGAGGAUGAUCAGCCACACUGGAACUGAGACACGGUCCAGACUCCUACGGGAGGCAGCAGUGGGGAAUAUUGGACAAUGGGCGCAAGCCUGAUCCAGCCAUACCGCGUGGGUGAAGAAGGCCUUCGGGUUGUAAAGCCCUUUUGUUGGGAAAGAAAAGCAGCAGGUUAAUACCCCGCUGUUCUGACGGUACCCAAAGAACAAGCACCGGCUAACUUCGUG
This 492-nucleotide ribosomal RNA is filed under the name uncultured bacterium. RNAcentral describes it as "partial 16S ribosomal RNA". It matches the Rfam family "Bacterial small subunit ribosomal RNA", at positions 29 to 507 of the family's 1533-position model. The record is from RNAcentral.